Molecule: ribosomal RNA, 460 nt
Filed under: uncultured bacterium
Lineage: Bacteria
Description: partial 16S ribosomal RNA
Rfam family: Bacterial small subunit ribosomal RNA
Source: RNAcentral
CCUACGGGAGGCAGCAGUGAGGAAUAUUGGUCAAUGGCCGUAAGCCUGAACCAGCCAAGUCGCGUGAAGGAAGAAGGAUCUAUGGUUUGUAAACUCCUUUUAUAGGGGGAUAAAGGUAUCCACGUGUGGAUUUUUGCAUGUACCCUAUGAAUAAGCAUCGGCUAACUCCGUGCCAGCAGCCGCGGUAAUACGGAGGAUGCGAGCGUUAUCCGGAUUUAUGGGGUUUAAAGGGUGCGAAGGUUGAUUUUUAAGGCAGCGGUGAAAGUUUGGGGCUCAACCGUAAAAUUGCAAUUGAUACUGGCAGCCUUGAGUACAGUUGAGGUAGGCGGAAUUCGUGGUGUAGCGGUGAAAUGCGUAGAUAUCACGAAGAACUCCGAUUGCGAAGGCAGCCUACUAAACUGCCACUGACAUUGAUGCACGAAAGUGUGGGGAUCAAACAGGAUUAGAUACCCUGGUAGUC